UUUUAUGGAGAGUUUGAUCCUGGCUCAGGACGAACGCUGGCGGCGUGCCUAACACAUGCAAGUCGAACGGAGAAUCAGCAAUGAUUCUUAGUGGCGAACGGGUGAGUAACGCGUAGACAACCUGCCUUCCAGAUGGGGACAACACCGCGAAAGUGGUGCUAAUACCGAAUAAAGUAUUUUGAGCGCAUGCUUGAAAUAGCAAAGGUGGCCUCUGA
RNAcentral lists this ribosomal RNA (215 nucleotides) under Dendrosporobacter quercicolus DSM 1736. Its description in RNAcentral is "partial 16S ribosomal RNA". It matches the Rfam family "Bacterial small subunit ribosomal RNA", at positions 1 to 221 of the family's 1533-position model. The record is from RNAcentral. Lineage: Bacteria; Bacillati; Bacillota; Negativicutes; Selenomonadales; Sporomusaceae.